Non-coding RNA from Oryza brachyantha (malo sina), 192 nucleotides. The record is from Rfam. NCBI's taxonomy places the organism in Eukaryota, Viridiplantae, Streptophyta, Magnoliopsida, Poales, Poaceae.
AAUAACCUCAUUUUUUGUUUUUCCGUGUCCAACGUUUGACCAUUCGUCUUAUUUAAAUUUUUUUGCGAUUAAUAUUUUUAUUAUUACUAGAUGAUAAAAUAUGAAUAGUAUUUUAUAUGUGACUAAUUUUCUAAAGUUUUUUUUACAAAUCUUUCAAAUAAAACGAAUGAUCAAAACGUUGGAUACGGAAAA